Molecule: unclassified non-coding RNA, 138 nt
Filed under: soil metagenome
Description: partial internal transcribed spacer 1
Source: RNAcentral
CCUAGAGUUGUAGGCUUUGCCUGCUAUCUCUUACCCAUGUCUUUUGAGUACCUUCGUUUCCUCGGCGGGUCCGCCCGCCGAUUGGACAAUUUAAACCAUUUGCAGUUGCAACCAGCGUCUGAAAAAACUUAAUAGUUA